AUUGAACGCUGGCGGCAUGCCUUACACAUGCAAGUCGAACGGCAGCACGGGAGCAAUCCUGGUGGCGAGUGGCGAACGGGUGAGUAAUAUAUCGGAACGUGCCCAGUCGUGGGGGAUAACGCAGCGAAAGCUGUGCUAAUACCGCAUACGAUCUAAGGAUGAAAGCGGGGGAUCGCAAGACCUCGCGCGAUGGGAGCGGCCGAUAUCAGAUUAGCUAGUUGGUGGGGUAAAGGCCCACCAAGGCGACGAUCUGUAGCUGGUCUGAGAGGACGACCAGCCACACUGGAGCUGAGACACGGUGCAGACUCCUACGGGAGGCAGCAGUGGGGAAUUUUGGACAAUGGGCGCAAGCCUGAUGCAGCAAUGCCGAGUGCAGGAUGAAGGCCUUCGGGUUGUAAACUGCUUUUGUACGGAACGAAACGGCCCUUUCUAAUACAGGGGGCUAAUGACGGUACCGUAAGAAUAAGCACCGGCUAACUACGUGCCAGCCGCCGCGGUAA
RNAcentral lists this ribosomal RNA (500 nucleotides) under uncultured bacterium. RNAcentral describes it as "partial 16S ribosomal RNA". It matches the Rfam family "Bacterial small subunit ribosomal RNA", at positions 29 to 523 of the family's 1533-position model. The record is from RNAcentral.